Molecule: long non-coding RNA, 1122 nt
Filed under: Zea mays
Lineage: Eukaryota; Viridiplantae; Streptophyta; Magnoliopsida; Poales; Poaceae
Description: long non-coding RNA (ZMAY_LNC003568)
Source: RNAcentral
GUAAUAUCGGUGGUUUCCUCGGCUUUUUCUCCAUUGUCGUUUUCUCCUCAGGUUUUUUCUUUCCCUUGACCCUUACACCUUCUUGUGAACUUGAGAUUGAUGCUGAGGCUGGGCAUGCUUGCUUGGUGUUCAAGGUUGUUGUCCGGGCAGCCUUGGAGACCUCUUUUGCAGUAAGCAGAGAAGACCCAGAUGACGGGUGGCCUCGAGGAGGCAGCCUCGCUGUGCGACCAGUGGUACUAGGAAGUGGCGAACCAUUCCCAUCUUGCCGGCGCUCAGGUUUGUAGGCGAAUUGGGCAAAAAAUGCACCAAAAGGUGAACAAUAAUUGGGGUCCUGAUCAAUGAAAUCGGGAUUAGCUAUGGGAGGGAAAAAGCCUUGGGGCAGUGUCUGCUGCUUCUUCAAAACCUUGGAAUUCUUGCUGCGGUUGAUCCUCUUGACACACUGUCUGCCCAUGACGCCACCAGCAGCAGCUUCUUCCCCUGCCCUUGAAUAGACAUCAUUGAGAAAUGGUGUUUCGCCAGAUUGCUCCUGCUCCACCUUCCGCCGCCUAUGUUUCUUCCUUACCGUCGCACCCUCUGUCAUCACCUUCUUUUCCAUCUGCGUGAUUUGUGCCACAGCAGCAGUGGGCACCGAUGGUAUAAUCAUUGCAGCCUCCCUAUCCUUCCUUUUCUUGUGCCUCUUUUCUACCUUCGGCACAGGGUCCUCAAUUAAUGGAGCUGCCGGCAGCGCCUCCUGAUUCUCCCUCUUGCGCUCCUUAUCCUGCAUCACUGUCGCUGCUGUCAUCGCCGAGGUUAGGGUUUCGGGAGCGACUGGGACUGAGGAAGCAGACAUGGAUUCCAGUAUUGCCAAAUGUCGGGGAGACUCCCUCGCUGCCAUCUCCCUUGUCAUCUUCUUCUCAGGCUUUUCUUUCCCUUCGAUCCUUGCCUCUUCUUGUGAAUCUGAGGUUGAUUCUGAGGCUGGGCAUGGUUGCUUGGUGUUCAAGGUUGUUGUCCGGGCAGCCUUGGAGACCUCUUUUGCAGUAAGCAGAGAAGACCCAGAUAACGGGUGGCCUCGAGGAGGCAGCCUCGCUGUGCGACCAGUGGUACUAGGAAGUGGCGAACCAUUCCCAUCUUGCCGGCGCUCAG